This is a small nuclear RNA of Jaculus jaculus (lesser Egyptian jerboa), 107 nucleotides long. Lineage: Eukaryota; Metazoa; Chordata; Mammalia; Rodentia; Dipodidae. The record is from Ensembl.
GUGCUCGCUUUAGCAGCACAUAUACUAAAUUGGAACCAUACAGAAAAAAGAGUAGCAUGGCCCCUGAACAAGAAUGACAGCAAAUUCGUGAAGCGUUCCAUUCUUUU